GAGAGAUGGUCUGAGUGGUUGAUAGCCCSGGUCUUGUCAACUGGUAUAGUUUCUAUCUG
RNAcentral lists this transfer RNA (59 nucleotides) under Pabstiella mirabilis. Its description in RNAcentral is "partial tRNA-Ser". The record is from RNAcentral. Lineage: Eukaryota; Viridiplantae; Streptophyta; Magnoliopsida; Asparagales; Orchidaceae.